This 4263-nucleotide long non-coding RNA is filed under the name Homo sapiens (human). Its description in RNAcentral is "metastasis associated lung adenocarcinoma transcript 1". The stretch from base 1656 to 1750 matches the Rfam family "Metastasis associated lung adenocarcinoma transcript 1". The record is from RNAcentral. Lineage: Eukaryota; Metazoa; Chordata; Mammalia; Primates; Hominidae.
UCAGUUCUUUUUCCCUUAGGUCUGUCUAGAAUCCUAAAGGCAAAUGACUCAAGGUGUAACAGAAAACAAGAAAAUCCAAUAUCAGGAUAAUCAGACCACCACAGGUUUACAGUUUAUAGAAACUAGAGCAGUUCUCACGUUGAGGUCUGUGGAAGAGAUGUCCAUUGGAGAAAUGGCUGGUAGUUACUCUUUUUUCCCCCCACCCCCUUAAUCAGACUUUAAAAGUGCUUAACCCCUUAAACUUGUUAUUUUUUACUUGAAGCAUUUUGGGAUGGUCUUAACAGGGAAGAGAGAGGGUGGGGGAGAAAAUGUUUUUUUCUAAGAUUUUCCACAGAUGCUAUAGUACUAUUGACAAACUGGGUUAGAGAAGGAGUGUACCGCUGUGCUGUUGGCACGAACACCUUCAGGGACUGGAGCUGCUUUUAUCCUUGGAAGAGUAUUCCCAGUUGAAGCUGAAAAGUACAGCACAGUGCAGCUUUGGUUCAUAUUCAGUCAUCUCAGGAGAACUUCAGAAGAGCUUGAGUAGGCCAAAUGUUGAAGUUAAGUUUUCCAAUAAUGUGACUUCUUAAAAGUUUUAUUAAAGGGGAGGGGCAAAUAUUGGCAAUUAGUUGGCAGUGGCCUGUUACGGUUGGGAUUGGUGGGGUGGGUUUAGGUAAUUGUUUAGUUUAUGAUUGCAGAUAAACUCAUGCCAGAGAACUUAAAGUCUUAGAAUGGAAAAAGUAAAGAAAUAUCAACUUCCAAGUUGGCAAGUAACUCCCAAUGAUUUAGUUUUUUUCCCCCCAGUUUGAAUUGGGAAGCUGGGGGAAGUUAAAUAUGAGCCACUGGGUGUACCAGUGCAUUAAUUUGGGCAAGGAAAGUGUCAUAAUUUGAUACUGUAUCUGUUUUCCUUCAAAGUAUAGAGCUUUUGGGGAAGGAAAGUAUUGAACUGGGGGUUGGUCUGGCCUACUGGGCUGACAUUAACUACAAUUAUGGGAAAUGCAAAAGUUGUUUGGAUAUGGUAGUGUGUGGUUCUCUUUUGGAAUUUUUUUCAGGUGAUUUAAUAAUAAUUUAAAACUACUAUAGAAACUGCAGAGCAAAGGAAGUGGCUUAAUGAUCCUGAAGGGAUUUCUUCUGAUGGUAGCUUUUGUAUUAUCAAGUAAGAUUCUAUUUUCAGUUGUGUGUAAGCAAGUUUUUUUUUAGUGUAGGAGAAAUACUUUUCCAUUGUUUAACUGCAAAACAAGAUGUUAAGGUAUGCUUCAAAAAUUUUGUAAAUUGUUUAUUUUAAACUUAUCUGUUUGUAAAUUGUAACUGAUUAAGAAUUGUGAUAGUUCAGCUUGAAUGUCUCUUAGAGGGUGGGCUUUUGUUGAUGAGGGAGGGGAAACUUUUUUUUUUUCUAUAGACUUUUUUCAGAUAACAUCUUCUGAGUCAUAACCAGCCUGGCAGUAUGAUGGCCUAGAUGCAGAGAAAACAGCUCCUUGGUGAAUUGAUAAGUAAAGGCAGAAAAGAUUAUAUGUCAUACCUCCAUUGGGGAAUAAGCAUAACCCUGAGAUUCUUACUACUGAUGAGAACAUUAUCUGCAUAUGCCAAAAAAUUUUAAGCAAAUGAAAGCUACCAAUUUAAAGUUACGGAAUCUACCAUUUUAAAGUUAAUUGCUUGUCAAGCUAUAACCACAAAAAUAAUGAAUUGAUGAGAAAUACAAUGAAGAGGCAAUGUCCAUCUCAAAAUACUGCUUUUACAAAAGCAGAAUAAAAGCGAAAAGAAAUGAAAAUGUUACACUACAUUAAUCCUGGAAUAAAAGAAGCCGAAAUAAAUGAGAGAUGAGUUGGGAUCAAGUGGAUUGAGGAGGCUGUGCUGUGUGCCAAUGUUUCGUUUGCCUCAGACAGGUAUCUCUUCGUUAUCAGAAGAGUUGCUUCAUUUCAUCUGGGAGCAGAAAACAGCAGGCAGCUGUUAACAGAUAAGUUUAACUUGCAUCUGCAGUAUUGCAUGUUAGGGAUAAGUGCUUAUUUUUAAGAGCUGUGGAGUUCUUAAAUAUCAACCAUGGCACUUUCUCCUGACCCCUUCCCUAGGGGAUUUCAGGAUUGAGAAAUUUUUCCAUCGAGCCUUUUUAAAAUUGUAGGACUUGUUCCUGUGGGCUUCAGUGAUGGGAUAGUACACUUCACUCAGAGGCAUUUGCAUCUUUAAAUAAUUUCUUAAAAGCCUCUAAAGUGAUCAGUGCCUUGAUGCCAACUAAGGAAAUUUGUUUAGCAUUGAAUCUCUGAAGGCUCUAUGAAAGGAAUAGCAUGAUGUGCUGUUAGAAUCAGAUGUUACUGCUAAAAUUUACAUGUUGUGAUGUAAAUUGUGUAGAAAACCAUUAAAUCAUUCAAAAUAAUAAACUAUUUUUAUUAGAGAAUGUAUACUUUUAGAAAGCUGUCUCCUUAUUUAAAUAAAAUAGUGUUUGUCUGUAGUUCAGUGUUGGGGCAAUCUUGGGGGGGAUUCUUCUCUAAUCUUUCAGAAACUUUGUCUGCGAACACUCUUUAAUGGACCAGAUCAGGAUUUGAGCGGAAGAACGAAUGUAACUUUAAGGCAGGAAAGACAAAUUUUAUUCUUCAUAAAGUGAUGAGCAUAUAAUAAUUCCAGGCACAUGGCAAUAGAGGCCCUCUAAAUAAGGAAUAAAUAACCUCUUAGACAGGUGGGAGAUUAUGAUCAGAGUAAAAGGUAAUUACACAUUUUAUUUCCAGAAAGUCAGGGGUCUAUAAAUUGACAGUGAUUAGAGUAAUACUUUUUCACAUUUCCAAAGUUUGCAUGUUAACUUUAAAUGCUUACAAUCUUAGAGUGGUAGGCAAUGUUUUACACUAUUGACCUUAUAUAGGGAAGGGAGGGGGUGCCUGUGGGGUUUUAAAGAAUUUUCCUUUGCAGAGGCAUUUCAUCCUUCAUGAAGCCAUUCAGGAUUUUGAAUUGCAUAUGAGUGCUUGGCUCUUCCUUCUGUUCUAGUGAGUGUAUGAGACCUUGCAGUGAGUUUAUCAGCAUACUCAAAAUUUUUUUCCUGGAAUUUGGAGGGAUGGGAGGAGGGGGUGGGGCUUACUUGUUGUAGCUUUUUUUUUUUUUACAGACUUCACAGAGAAUGCAGUUGUCUUGACUUCAGGUCUGUCUGUUCUGUUGGCAAGUAAAUGCAGUACUGUUCUGAUCCCGCUGCUAUUAGAAUGCAUUGUGAAACGACUGGAGUAUGAUUAAAAGUUGUGUUCCCCAAUGCUUGGAGUAGUGAUUGUUGAAGGAAAAAAUCCAGCUGAGUGAUAAAGGCUGAGUGUUGAGGAAAUUUCUGCAGUUUUAAGCAGUCGUAUUUGUGAUUGAAGCUGAGUACAUUUUGCUGGUGUAUUUUUAGGUAAAAUGCUUUUUGUUCAUUUCUGGUGGUGGGAGGGGACUGAAGCCUUUAGUCUUUUCCAGAUGCAACCUUAAAAUCAGUGACAAGAAACAUUCCAAACAAGCAACAGUCUUCAAGAAAUUAAACUGGCAAGUGGAAAUGUUUAAACAGUUCAGUGAUCUUUAGUGCAUUGUUUAUGUGUGGGUUUCUCUCUCCCCUCCCUUGGUCUUAAUUCUUACAUGCAGGAACACUCAGCAGACACACGUAUGCGAAGGGCCAGAGAAGCCAGACCCAGUAAGAAAAAAUAGCCUAUUUACUUUAAAUAAACCAAACAUUCCAUUUUAAAUGUGGGGAUUGGGAACCACUAGUUCUUUCAGAUGGUAUUCUUCAGACUAUAGAAGGAGCUUCCAGUUGAAUUCACCAGUGGACAAAAUGAGGAAAACAGGUGAACAAGCUUUUUCUGUAUUUACAUACAAAGUCAGAUCAGUUAUGGGACAAUAGUAUUGAAUAGAUUUCAGCUUUAUGCUGGAGUAACUGGCAUGUGAGCAAACUGUGUUGGCGUGGGGGUGGAGGGGUGAGGUGGGCGCUAAGCCUUUUUUUAAGAUUUUUCAGGUACCCCUCACUAAAGGCACCGAAGGCUUAAAGUAGGACAACCAUGGAGCCUUCCUGUGGCAGGAGAGACAACAAAGCGCUAUUAUCCUAAGCUUUUCCAGAAGCCUGUUAAAAGCAAGGUCUCCCCACAAGCAACUUCUCUGCCACAUCGCCACCCCGUGCCUUUUGAUCUAGCACAGACCCUUCACCCCUCACCUCGAUGCAGCCAGUAGCUUGGAUCCUUGUGGGCAUGAUCCAUAAUCGGUUUCAAGGUAAUAGCCUGCAGCUGGUGUUUUGAGAAGCCCUACUGCUGAAAACUUAACAAUUUUGUGUAAUAAAAAUGGAGAAGCUCUAAA